Phasianus colchicus (ring-necked pheasant) is the source of this 5729-nucleotide non-coding RNA. Lineage: Eukaryota; Metazoa; Chordata; Aves; Galliformes; Phasianidae. The record is from RefSeq and is a predicted model, not a curated record.
GAGCACGAACCCAAACACACUAAGACACGCCCUCGCGCCGCCCCUCGCGCCGCCCAUUGGAUUGCGCCCCGACGACCCCCGCGCUGAUUGGCUGUCUCGUCUGCUCGUCUCAUCUCUCUCCGCCCCUGAAUGUUGUCUAUUGGGGAGGGCCACAUGGAUCUCCCCGCCCGUUAGCCAUGGACCACGUCCAUCAAAGAGAAACACCCGCCUUCCAGCUCCUCUCAUUGGACAAUCUCGUCAGUACCCCCCUCAAUGAUUGGCUGUCCCGGCUGACUGUCACGUAUUGACGUCGCCUCCCUCACUGGCUGCCGACCCUCCUCCCACUCCUCCCGUUGGCUGAGAGAUUGGCCCCGUAAAUGAGAAGCCCGCCCCUACUUGCCCCGCCCCCUGCACGCUACGGAUUGGCCGGUGGGUUGCGCCCUCGCACGCCAUUGGUGAAGGGAUGUGCUCGUCACACCGUAACACGCAGAGGCCCGCCCAUCGAGCCGCGGCCCUCGGCGGCAGCGCUGGAAACGAGGUGGGAGGGAAGGCUGCACCAGCAUGCCUCCUUUCUCUGCCCAAUGGAGGAGACGGGCACACGCGGUAAUGAGGAGGACCGCGGCCACCGCCGUCUCGUAAUGCCAGGCGGCAACAACGCCACAUUCCUCCCGUCUGCAACGACAUUUGCUUCUUGCCCCGCCCUUCCCACACAGCGAUUGGGCGGGGAGGAUGUCAGUCGCACUACUCGCCAGUCCAUUGGUGCGCGGCGACUCCGCCGCAGCCAACUGACAGCCGCUCAGGCGUGGGCGGGAGGGGGCGUUCUCCUCCCUAUGAUUGGUUGAGUCAACUGUCAAUCCCUGCACUGUCUCUCGGCGGCGGGGGGGAAGGCGGUGACGGGCCGCGUGAGGCGGCGGGGGCGUCACGUGGCUCCUGCAUUUGCGCACGUGACGGGGCUGGCGACCGUUGGUGUGGGGGAAGGGUUGUGUGAGGCGCUCCCUAAGAGCGUGGUUGGCGGCACCGCUGUUCCACACGGUGGGCUGAAGGGAAACGGGGGCUGUGGGGUCGAGAAAAGCUGAGGAGGAGACGAGCAAAAACAGAGGAAGGAGUGCUCUGAGGGGAUCUGGGGUCAUCAACACUCAGACAUGGGGGUUGGUGUUGGAUGACGUGGUCUCCGUGGGUCCCUUCCAGCUCGGGCUUCUUCUGUGAUCACAGAGGCGUUUGAGAGGGAGAGAAAAUGGAGGUCUUCUAUAACAACAAAGAAAAAGCACAAAUGAGCAACUUAAAGAAAAACCAGAGAGGAAGAUGUCUGCUUUGUGCUUCCAGUUCUGAAAAUGAAGCAGUGUGCACAUAAAAGUUAUUGGCAGCUGUGCUGAGGCCAGAGGUCGUGCAGCUCUUCAGGCAAGAUUUUAUUUACCUUUUCACCUCCUCAUUUCACCAACUUGGUCAGAGAUGACACUCAACAGCAGCAGGAACUUAUACACAACAGUUUGAGUCACCUUUAGCUGAACCUAAACAAAACUAAAGUAUAGGUCUCUCAUUAUCCUUUAUUAUGAAGGAGAUCAAUGCAAGCAGAAUGGCUGCCAUUUUGCUUUAAUCUGCGGAAGCAACACUGUUGUCUGUGAAAAGGUGCACUGCUGUCCACACCUGUCAGAAGGAGUGAAAGCAGUACUACAGGUGGAGUAGUUAAGCUUCUUUGGUCUGGUGAGCUGGGUGCAGACUGCGAGCAGCAGUGAUACUCUGCAAGAAGAAUGCGUGAUAAGACAGUGAGCAGGGUCUGGCAAACAGGGUGAAGUGUAACUGGAGAAUGGGGCAAAAGAGUUCAGACUGAAGGGCAGGAAAUCUGGACCUGGAAACAUCUGUUUCCUUUGCUGGUGUGGAAAAUCAUGCCUCCUUCAGGCAGACUGAGGAGGGAGAAGGAGAGAGAACCCACAAAAAUUGUCAUAAUCGGGGAGUUAGAGCUACAGUUGAACUGCUUAAACUCUCCCUCAUGUUGGAUGGUGGUUACACUAUUGCUCCUUUCCCAGGCUUCUUUUUGUCCACAAUUUCUCUAAAGUGGUGUUUGAGGGGAAGCAUAACAUCUGCAUUUUUAUUUUUAAAAAAGUAUGUAACAAGACUGCUUACUGCCACCUGCAGAGGAACUGGAGUCAAUUACAGUAGAACCUGAGGACAGAAAGUGAGAAUAGUGCAGGAAGAGAGCAUAAGAAAGAAAGCUGGAGGAGAAAAACAACUGCAAGACUGCACAACCUUAGGACCAGUAAAAAAAGAUUUACAAAGGAGUGCUAAGGAGUGGGAAGCUGCAUGGAAGGUUUCUUGUAUCCAGGGCUGCACACAGAAGGUCUACUUCAUCUCACUUGCGCAGAUAUAUGGGCACAUGAGCACACACAGCCUUUUCUAGCUCUCACCUUUCCUGGCCACAGUCUCCUCCUUACCCUUGCAUCAGCUACAGGGAGGCCCUAGCAAGGAUCCCAAAGAAAGGGCUGCACAGAGAACGGAGGGAUGAUGACAGUGGUGACAGCAGGAAGAGCUGCACAGGGAAACGGACCAGCAGCAGCCCGUUUCCAUGACUUGGCCUCCAGCGGUUUCUGGAAGAGAGAACAGCAAAGCUGGGUGGGCCUGUCUGUUUGUUCUUUAAUACUCAAAUCUAACUGCUUACAAACCCUGUGACUCACACACUGUCCCAGCCCAUCUUCUGCAAUGGUUGGCAGCAAAGUUAAAUCCAGGUUCUCAAGUACAGCUUUGUGUCACCCCCUUGAUGGAAGCCUGCCAGCAGCUUCCCUGUAGCUGAGCUGCUGUUGGGAGCUCGGGGUGGGGCUGCAUGUGUAAAGACCACAGGCUGACUCCUGAGAGCAAUCACAGGACCUCUUGGUAGCAGAUGAUCUCUUCAAAACCACCAGUUAAUCACACACAAGCAGAAACUGAGGAAGACUUAAUUGCUCAGGGGCUAACAUACAUUUGGCCCACUGGGUUAUUUUCUUUUUGCACAGGGAAGGAAUGAUGAUGAGGAUGUUCUAGUGGAUUUCAUCACGAGCUAACAACCAUUUGCAAAACAGCAUGUUCUCCCCCACACAUGUGAAAAAGCAAGCAAAAACCCCAGGACUUUCCUUUUAAUCCUGCACUAAGCUCCCAGACAACUAGAAGAAAGUCAAAAGUUUGUUGGGUUUUUCUUUCUUUCUUUCUUUCCCCUGAAGAGAGCGAGAUGUUCUGUGGUUGCUGUUGUGGAUUCACUAACUGUGCUAAAGAAAGCAUGUUCCCUCUCAAGAGCCCUGAGCAACUCAGUUCUACUAUUUGUUUCUGCUGCUUGGACUGUACUUGAUUGCUGCUGCUGGCUUACUUUCUGUCACUGAGAACCUUGCAGAGCUUAAACCAGCCCUGGCAGCAAUUCUUCCUUACAGUCUUGCUUCCACUUUGGUUCUUGCUAACCAUAGCACAAAGAGCAAUGAAAAUACACAUUAAAGCUACUCCUAACAAGGUGUUCCAGACCAGGGCUGUGUUCAAGAAGAUGUUUGUGUUUAUCGAGAGUCCAACUCCCAAAUCCUUCUACUGCCACACUUUCUUUUGAAGCAGUAUUCAAUGCAAAGACCUACAGCAUUUUCAAGGGUUUCCUCAUGUGAGCAACACUGCUAUGCACAAGUGAAUUCCCAAUUACUUAUACCAAGCGCUACUUACAUGGGAGACUUUGAAACAAGAUGGAGCCUGCCUGAAACAACAUCCUCCUUUUGGCUGCAGGGUACAGCAUCUGUGGCUGGCGCCUGUGCUUGUCUGUCUCUGUCUUUGUUCUUAUGAGUUUGUCUCCUUGGAUGCAAAAUGGAAGCUGUUGGUUAUACUGUGCUGUCAGGAUCUCCAGCAUUCAUCCAGCAUAACCCCAGUGGGUGCAGCGAAAUUAAUCCAGAUUUGCUGAAGUAUAACUUUGGUUCUGUAAGUUAAUUAAUAUGUUUAAAAGCGGUUUGGAAAUUGGUGAGAAACCAGUGGAGACCGCUUUAACUUUUCCUUCCAGAAAAGUUUUGAUUUAUUGAAAUGUUGUAGUCAUAAAUACCGAACAAAGGAAGUGAAUAUAUUGCAGUGUCUUCAUUGUGAAAGGGCAAUGGCAGAUGCUUGGAUAAACCAGGAAACAGGUCUUUAUUUCAGCGCAAUGCCUGCAAGGAUUUCUGUCUUUCAUACCUCUCCAAGAAGUUAUUUUAACUACCUUUCUAUGAGAUUUAUUAGGCUGUGAAGGAGAAUUUCAAACAAAUGGUAGAAUAACAAAAUCCUAGAAAGAUAGGCUGGUGAAUUGUCUUGCAUUGCACUAGGGCAAUGACCCAGACGACCUAGCAGCCUUUUCCAUUUCUAACAUCCAUGAUUACCACAGUUAUACCUCAGGACACUAAACAGAGCCAUUUUCUUCCUUUCAGAAGCAGCAAAAUGUCACUAAUGGCCGUGCUAAAUCAGAAGAACUUAUGUGUUACACACUUAGCAAGACAGCUAAAAAUGAUCCCACUUGGUUUAUAUUUGCUAUUUUCCAUUUCUGUAGUGCAAGUGCUCCGCUCAAGGGGGCUGCCAGCCAAGGGAAAGAAUUUCUGGUAGAAGAUUAAGGAUAACUAAGGAAAUGGUUGCAUGACCUAUAAAGAGAGGAUCAUAAAUAUUGCAACAAUAAAACCAAUAGCUCUUUCAAAGUUUAAAUAGCUUUUCUUUUCAAACACUUGAAGUAAAUGCCCUUUUCCCAAGGUUGUAUAGCAUCUGUGCCUUGGGAUUUUACUCAGUUUCACCAAAUACAUUGUAAUUUCUCAGAGAGAUAGCUAUUCCUUUUAAUCAUUUUUGUUUGUGGAAGUGUCCUCUUCAGAGAAGCUGGAGCCCAUCUACCUCAAAGUGCCUUAUUACUUCUCCUGCUACUGAAGUUAUAGAAAAGCAAGAGCACAGCAGUAAAACAGCCCCUGCAUUUCUUAAGCACCAUGGUCACAGACAAUGCAAGAUGAGGCAAGUAUGAUUCUGUUCCUCAUAAACAAGCAGCACCACUUACACGUUUUUUUACGUUCAAGGGGAAACCUCGGAUGCAAGGGUCUGCCUGUGUAAGUAUUCAGGUAUACAAUUCAUUUUCUUCACAGUCCCAACUGUGCAAAAAGCCAGACCUGGGCUGCUGUCACUGCAUAGUAGAAUACAACUGACAUUCCUAUCCCACACACUCUGUUGGCAUGCAACACGUAGCUUUAGUUUUUAUGGUAUAGGAUCCAGCUCUAGAGUAAGCAAUCUGUUUUCAUGUGCUCAUUUUUUUCCCCAUACUCCAUCUUACAUCAUUGUGUAGCUAAUGCAGGGCAUGCUCAAACUGAUGUGUACCACCAGCUGUAUUGCUAUAUCAGAGCAAUACAUGCACGUCUUGCUGAAGCAUUCCUAUUCCUUUGUCACCUCAUGUUGCCAUAUUUAUUUAAUUUACGUCUCAGGCCCUGAUUUGAGAAUACUGUUUUGGAUACAGUAAAAAGGCACUACACCUGCCACAGACAGAGGCUAGACAGCCUUGAUGUUAGUGCUCAAUCCUGUGUAUUGGUCAGAUUGCAGAAAGCAGUAUUCUUUCUGUAACAGCCAGUCCAGAUUGGUAAAUCAAAAAGCUGAAGAAACACGGUGUUUAUUCAGCCCACAGUGUGCAUGUGCCAAAUCCACCCCCAAACUCAUGCAAAAUGCUGAUCUGGCCACAGUGCACUGGCACAACGUACUUUUUUCACUUGCACAGAUGAAAUAAAAUUCACUAUUCAGCAGAAGCUUUUUUUUUUUUUUUUUGCUUU